GACGAGCGCUGGCGGCGUGCUUAACACAUGCCAGUCGAACGGAAAGGCCCUGCUUUUGUGGGGUGCUCGAGUGGCGAACGGGUGAGUAACACGUGAGUAACCUGCCCUUGACUUUGGGAUAACUUCAGGAAACUGGGGCUAAUACCGGAUAGGAGCUCCUGCUGCAUGGUGGGGGUUGGAAAGUUUCGGCGGUUGGGGAUGGACUCGCGGCUUAUCAGCUUGUUGGUGGGGUAGUGGCUUACCAAGGCUUUGACGGGUAGCCGGCCUGAGAGGGUGACCGGACACAUUGGGACUGAGAUACGGCCCAGACUCCUACGGGAGGCAGCAGUGGGGAAUAUUGCACAAUGGGCGGAAGCCUGAUGCAGCAACGCCGCGUGCGGGAUGACGGCCUUCGGGUUGUAAACCGCUUUCGCCUGUGACGAAGCGUGAGUGACGGUAAUGUGUAAAGAAGCACCGGCUAACUACGUG
Molecule: ribosomal RNA, 468 nt
Filed under: uncultured bacterium
Lineage: Bacteria
Description: partial 16S ribosomal RNA
Rfam family: Bacterial small subunit ribosomal RNA
Source: RNAcentral